CGAAGCGCAAUAGAGUAGAUAGGGAUUGCUUCAAAAAGUCUAGAGAAACAAACAUGAACUCAACUGUCAUUCUCUCACUUGGGACAGUUUUUUCUACUUAUUGGCUCAAAUUAUGAACCUGGACCAGGUUAAGCAAGAGCUUGGCACAUCAUUUUUGUUGUCGGCAGAGGGCAGAACACUCAGGGCUGAUCAAUAUGACCCAGAAUUUGGAUGUGCAGAUUGCACAAUAGAUUCAUCCCAUUGGUGACCUCCCCAGAUGACCAAGUCUUGCCCUGUAUGGCCAGCUUUGUCUAACCUCUUGAACUAAAUUUGAACAUUCAGAGUAAAAAAGUAGACCCAGUGCUGUGUAUGUGUAAUGGUCAUUGGCUGUUCCAUAAAUCUAUCAGUCUAAAUGUGUGCAGGGUUAACUGGGCAGAUAUCCAGUAUAUUUGUGUGAUGAACUCCAAUGGGCAACUGGCAUUCUGAUCUUACCAAGGUUGAGACACCUUGAUGCAAUUUCUAAUUAACAUCACUCUGCAGCCAAUGUUACUACUCCUUGGCUUUUGUUAGCAUCUUUAGUCAAGACUUCAGGCUACCAUCGCUGUUCCCUUUACAAAAGAAGCCAUUUUUAAUACUGCACUGCCAUAUUUCAAUAAAUAUGUAGGUAGGGCUGCCAGUUACCACUGUUUAGUUAUCUAAUAUGCCACCUAAGGAAAAACUACAUAGGUUUCAGUGCACGAACAUCUAUUAUUAAUGGUGGUUGUUGGUAACCCUGUAUGUAGGGGUACAGGCUACAGUCUUAAAAAAUGACAAGCACAUUACAUUCUCUCACCAAUACGUACGCAGUUUGAAAUCUAUUCAUAGCAGACCCUUUAUUUAAAUUGCAUUUUGCACUAUAAUGCAGUUCUGGAGCUUUAGACUGUAACCCAUCUUGCAAGGUCUUACGGUCUCCUGUUAUUUUUGUUUCUCUCUGUAGACUUGGGCUUUAGCCUAUGCUGAGUAAACCCUCUUCAAAACCAUCCUAUAUGGCAAUGACAACGGCAGCUGAAAGAAAAAGGAAGUUGUUAAGCCUUGCAGGUAACAGAGCCAUGAAAGAAGAUAGCGUUACGCUUCCAACUGCGAAACGCGUGCGGCAGGAUAUCUCCCUCGACUGCAAAGCACCAAGAGUGCAGAGAGUGGCAGCAGGGACUACAAGAAGCGAAGAUAAUUGAGUUUGGAGACCUCUACCCAAAAGUGUUUUGGCAGGCGCCUUGGGCGUGAAAACCAAGGUGGGAAGAAAAGAACAGCCCCUAAAGAUCCAUGAGAGUGGGGCAGAAUUCCCAGAAUAACAAACAGUGUAAAAUUGGGUUUAAUAUUAAACUAGAAAAGAACAAUUGUGUUGUACAAAUUAAGCUAUGCCAACUCUGAGAUCUAUCCCAGAGUUAACAUGGUGUGCCAUUCCUGUUCUACUUUGAGAUUAAAUUCAUCUAAACAUAAGGUACAUAUCUGGCAGGAUAAAACAUUUCUGUCCAGGGUUCCAUUGUGUUUUGAUAUUCAGGAAGUCUCCUGCAGGAUUCCAUGGUGUUUUGACAUUCAGGAAGUCUCCUGCAGGAUUCCAUGGUGUUUUGACAUUCAGGAAGUCUCCUGCAGGAUUCCAUGGUGUUUUGACAUUCAGGAAGUCUCCUGCAGGAUUCCAUGGUGUUUUGACAUUCAGGAAGUCUCCUGCAGGAUUCCAUGGUGUUUUGACAUUCAGGAAGUCUCCUGCAGGAUUCCAUUGUGUUUUGACAUUCAGGAAGUCUCCUGUAGGAUUCCAUGGUGUUUUGACAUUCAGGAAGUCUCCUGCAGGAAUCUGUUGUACUAGAAUCCUCUGUUUAAACAUAAAAGAAUGAACCACAGUGGGUGCAAAGGAAACCUUCUUGAAGAUGGCACAAACAUAAUUUUGCUUUCUACAAGUAAUGGCAAUUCAAGUAUGUUUGUAGAAUAAUGCACAGUUGUAGGAGCAUGGACCAAUUAUGUCUUCUACUGAGUGACUGUACCGAUUGGUCCCACAAAAAAAUGCUGAGUAAUGCUUUUAUUCUGGAUCAGGGAUCUUCCUUUUUAUCAACAGUGAGCAUUUUCUGCAAUAUAUAAUUGUAAGAUUAAUGAUGUCAAACAAAUAAGUACAAUUGAGCCCAUGUGCCGGCUGGAAGCCACAAUAACACGGAGAGCCACGUUCUAGGUGAAAUAAUAGAUAAUAUAUAAAGUAAACACGGUUUAGAAGAUCUUGAUACCUAUCAGUAGUUUUUUGUUAUCUCUGCAAGGUAACACCACACUCCGACAUCUAACUUGUAGCCUUCAUUGCAUUACAGUGUGCUCUGUGGAUAUAUUAUGAAGGUGCCUACAUCCAGGCAGAUUGAUGUGCCGUAGUGGGCCAGAGACUAUUGUCAUACGCUUAGGGGCACAUUUACUAAGGGUUGAAUAUCAAGGGUUAAUUAACCCUCGAUAUUCGACCCUUGAAGUAGAA
Molecule: long non-coding RNA, 2461 nt
Organism: Xenopus laevis (African clawed frog)
Lineage: Eukaryota; Metazoa; Chordata; Amphibia; Anura; Pipidae
Exons: 3
Source: RefSeq, a predicted model, not a curated record